Long non-coding RNA from Papaver somniferum (opium poppy), 912 nucleotides. RefSeq lists it as uncharacterized. Lineage: Eukaryota; Viridiplantae; Streptophyta; Magnoliopsida; Ranunculales; Papaveraceae. The record is from RefSeq and is a predicted model, not a curated record. The transcript has 2 exons.
UGUCUUCUCUACGUGUCCAAUAAUAUCCUAUCAGUGUGUCCUCCCUUACCUUUUCUCACUGUAAAUAAAUUUCUAGAUCUGAAAACUAUUCUUCUUCUUUCUACUUCUGCUUUUCUUUUUCUUCUUCAACUCAUGAACUGAAUCAUUUACGUUACUUCUAAAGGAAUCAAUGAAAAUAGUAGAUCAAUGAAGUAGUUGGGCUGUAAAUUGAUUUUGGUUAGGGCUUUUUAUCGGGAAGAAAGAUGAAUCCGUAAGAAUCAGGGUUAGGAUUUUUCCUGAAUUGAUUGAGAGAUGAAUUGAGUUUCUAUGAGUUGUGAUUCUGCAGUUCAACAUAAAAUUGAUGAUUUGAAGAUGUUGAUAAAUAAAGGGUUGUGUCAAUUGAAGAGAUUUGAGAGUUCUUUAGGAUACUUCAGAGAAUCGAAGAUGGUGAUGAAGAUUUGUUGAGUGUUAUUAACUAAUAGGGUGGUGAUGGUUGGAGAUGAUGUGAUGAAUCAAGUCAAGGCAAAGAAGAAAAUUAAUCCAAUUGCUCCAGUAAUACUAGUUUGAGCACCUGCUCGGAGAAGUGCAAGUGAUUCCCAGUUUGUCGAGUUCCCAUUGAGGAGAGCUUACUUGUAUAUGAUGAUGAUAUGAUGAUGUAUAGUUUUCACAAUAUACAACUUCCUGAUUUUUCGUUUUCGCUUGAUGGUUAGGGUCCUUGUGUGGUCGAUCGUACAUAAUAAACAAGAAGGAAGUUUCACCAAGGAUUGUUUUUUUUACUCAAUCCUCACUUGAAAUACCUUGGCAGUUGAAAGUCAGUUUGUAGAUUUGUUGCCUAACUUUGUAGCAUGGUUCUUUCUUUGUCGUAUCUACAGUUCGGUUUCAGUGUGAAUAAACAUGUUAAUGACGGAAAGGAAAGAAAGUUGUUUUGUUGAA